Molecule: ribosomal RNA, 418 nt
Filed under: uncultured bacterium
Lineage: Bacteria
Description: bacterial SSU rRNA
Rfam family: Bacterial small subunit ribosomal RNA
Source: RNAcentral
UGAGGAAUAUUGGUCAAUGGGCGCAAGCCUGAACCAGCCAUCCCGCGUGCAGGAAGACGGCUCUAUGGGUUGUAAACUGCUUUUCCAGGGGGAGAAUUUUUCUGUCGUGACAGGAAUUGACGGUACUCUGGGUAUACGCAUCGGCUAACUCCGCGCCAGCAGCCGCGGUUAUACGGAGGAUGCGAGCGUUACUUGGAUUUAUUGGGUUUAAAGGGUGCGUAGGCGGGUUGAUAAGUCAGUGGUGAAAACCAGCAGCUUAACUGUAGACUAGCCGUGGAUACUGUCAGUCUUGAGUGUGAUCAAGGUAGGCGGAAUGUGUAAUGUAGCGGUGAAAUGCUUAGAUAUUACACAGAACACCGAUUGCGAAAGCAGCUUACUGGGCCAUUACUGACGCUGAUGCACGAAAGCGUGGGGAUCG